CCUUGCUGUGAAGUUUCCGUAUUUAGUUCAAGUGAAACUUAAAAAGGCCAACAAGCUAGGCGAGUAGAACAGCUGGGUUGGAGAGUAAUCAAAGAAGAUUAUGAGAAGCCAUUUUUAGCUGCAAACUUAUCAUUCAGGCCACUUCCAGCAAGUUAAUCAAAGCCUCUUUCAUGUCUCCCUGCUGCAUCUAUGUGGAAUCUCCAUCAUUAGUUAUGCCAUCAGUAAUGUAUGGAGAAGACUAUGUCCGUCUUGGUUUCCUUUUUGGAGAAAAAUCAAAAGUGGCUUAUAUAUUCGAUGUUUCACGCUUUCCUCCCUGCACUGAGUAUAUUAUAUCAAAAUCUGGUGGUAGACAACUAGAUCUGCUUAUCUUGGAUACAUCAUUUAAGACAUGAUCACUCAACACCACUUAUGUUUCCCAGGCCACAUGUAUGCUUACUUUGUUUUGUGUAGACACUAGAGACAAUCGAAUUUUCGUGUACUAAAAGAGGUCUUUUAGGAAGAAUGACUCACGAGUUUGAUCACCACAAGGACAACGAGUGUCUUGAAGAAUGGUCUAAUAGGUACAGAGCUUUAGAAACAGUCACAAACUGUCUUAAUAAACCAUACGCAGAGUGAUGUUCUUAUUUGUUUUCUGCAGAUAAUUUUGAGUAUCUUCGGAAUAGUUAACUAAAUUUGAACGACUUCUCUUGGUUUUGAUUUUCUUUGGCAGGAAGGAACGAACAGACUUGCAAUGGUCUGCUGGUAACCUUUCUACAUGAGACUACACUGCAGCAGUAGGGAAAAUCACAGAGGCUCAUUCAGAUUUUGUGAUGGGAUUCAUCUCGGUUAAUCAUGCGUCUUGGAAAUGGGAGAUGUGUAUCCGUCUAUGAUUCAUGCAACGCUUGGUGUUCAAGUGGUGAAAAAAUGGUGAUGCACUUGGUCAAAAAUACAACACUCCAGAGUCUCUCGCUCCUAGCCUUAACAUUCAUAGUUAGUACCUUGUGCGGUAUCUCAGGAAAGUAUCGGUUUUAUGUAUGCUUCUUGACCUUCAUGAUUUUUUUGAUUUGAGGAACCUUUCUUUUGCUUAGUGUUCCAUAUUUCGUAAAGACUAUCCCCAAAUGCUAAUACAUCAUAACACCACCUAGCACCGUGUGGAUCAAGACUUGCAUCAAAAAGCUACUUCAAUGAUUGAAUGGGAAUAAAAGAUUUUGAUCAGUUUGGCUUU
Molecule: long non-coding RNA, 1204 nt
Organism: Brassica oleracea var. oleracea
Lineage: Eukaryota; Viridiplantae; Streptophyta; Magnoliopsida; Brassicales; Brassicaceae
Exons: 3
Source: RefSeq, a predicted model, not a curated record